GCGCCCGCGCCCUGAUUCCCGCAGUCUGCACCCCCACCCCCAACACCUUCCCCCAAAGUCCAAAACCAAACGCCUUUGGCCUCCUUCCUUUUCCCGGGGCCGUUGGCCGAAGGUGGCCCUCUUGACUCAUUCCCUUUCCGUUUCUUCCCACAGAUAGGUUCAUUAAUGCUUUUUCCAGGCGGAGUAAACUUAUGGGGGGGGGGGUUCAGUUUACUCGGGCUGGGGAUAACCUGGAGCCUACUGCCCGGGAAGAUCCGGACUCAGACCGAAGGAAACCAACCAUUAAAAAAAUGCAUCCAAUGGGAAUUUUUCCACUCGGGCCCUCGGCUGCCGAGUCGCGGCAGACUCCGGGAGCUAUUUCACCGGCCGACGCGGACUCGGGGCAGUUUCGGAAGGACCCCACCAUCGGGGGCGAGGACUAGGCUCCCAGUGCAUUGUUAGCAGAAGAGCGCCCUCCGGGCGGCGCGCCUCGGCCCUUUGCUCCUGGAGAGCUCCCGGCGCCCGCCCAGGGCCGGGACCGGCAGCACCAUAGGCCACCUCUCCGCGCCUUCUAGGGUCCAAUCCCUCGCACUUCACCUGGACCAGAUGGCCCAAGUCCCAGCGUUCGGCCAGAGCCGCCUAUGCAAUGCUACUCCAAGCCCCAAGAAACCUACGCUACCGCGGGACGUUCCCUCCACACUGGUCAACAGGUCUGCAGAGCGCAGCACUCAAGAUCGCGGCACCGUCAUCCCCACCCAGCCGUGAGGCCAGCCGGCUUUUGGCCCGCCUUGUCGGCCCCCGCCACCCGGAGACCUCCCCCGUCUUUCUGCAGGGUCGCCGCCGAACCCUCCAGUUGGGGCAGCCUCAGGAGUCCGGGGCGCAGCGAGGAGACAUCCCCCCCACCCCACUCCUCCCCCAGGCACUCUCGGCCUGACUCCCUUCUCCCCAACCUCCCAAACAGGUUACCUUGUCCACGCUCUCCAGACCACGCUUUGGACUUUUUCACUUUUAUUUAAGAGUCCACCCGGGGAAGGAGGAAAAAAAAAAUCCAGAGGAGAUCCGAGUCAAUUGGAAAGAAAAAAAAAAUUCAAAAGGGUGUCCACAGCGGCGAAAAAGCCCAGACUCUGCCGACCUUCAAACGACAACAGGGCUUUCAGGAGGGUGCGGGGAGACCGCUUCCCAACCGAACCUGGCCAGAAACCCGGCACCCCCAGCCACAUCGGCCCUCUUUCGGGCAGAAGGGAUUCCAACUCCACCACCCGGAGGCCCCCUUCCGGGUCCUGGGCAAACACUGAGGUUGCUAAUGGCCACCCCACCGGAGCCGCUGCUCCCCCUUCCUGACGCACUCCUCCAAGUGCUUGAGAAGGCUCCUCUAUGGCAAAAAUGUUGUGUAGGUCUCUCUUCCCAACUUCUAUUGUGCCUGGCAAAGAUCCCGUUACCCUCACUGCACUGAUCAGUACAGUCACCCCAGUAAGCCUAGCACCCCCAAUUCCUUGCAGCAGCAGCUGUCUCUCCCAUUGGGAGUUGCUCAAUACGCAACUAGAUUAAACUGAGGACUUGCCCUCCUGUUUUCACCGUG
Long non-coding RNA from Prionailurus viverrinus (fishing cat), 1558 nucleotides. RefSeq lists it as uncharacterized. Lineage: Eukaryota; Metazoa; Chordata; Mammalia; Carnivora; Felidae. The transcript is spliced from 2 exons. The record is from RefSeq and is a predicted model, not a curated record.